This 484-nucleotide ribosomal RNA is filed under the name uncultured bacterium. Its description in RNAcentral is "partial 16S ribosomal RNA". It matches the Rfam family "Bacterial small subunit ribosomal RNA", at positions 30 to 507 of the family's 1533-position model. The record is from RNAcentral.
AUUGAACGCUGGCGGCAGGCCUAACACAUGCAAGUCGAGCGGAUGAAGGGAGCUUGCUCCUGGAUUCAGCGGCGGACGGGUGAGUAAUGCCUAGGAAUCUGCCUGGUAGUGGGGGAUAACGUCCGGAAACGGGCGCUAAUACCGCAUACGUCCUGAGGGAGAAAGUGGGGGAUCUUCGGACCUCACGCUAUAAGAUGAGCCUAGGUCGGAUUAGCUAGUUGGUGGGGUAAAGGCCUACCAAGGCGACGAUCCGUAACUGGUCUGAGAGGAUGAUCAGUCACACUGGAACUGAGACAAGGUCCAGACUCCUACGGGAGGCAGCAGUGGGGAAUAUUGGACAAUGGGCGAAAGCCUGAUCCAGCCAUGCCGCGUGUGUGAAGAAGGUCUUCGGAUUGUAAAGCACUUUAAGUUGGGAGGAAGGGCAGUAAGUUAAUACCUUGCUGUUUUGACGUUACCAACAGAAUAAGCACCGGCUAACUUCGUG